CUAAUCUGCGAUAAGCGUCGGUAAGGUGAUAUGAACCGUUAUAACCGGCGAUUUCCGAAUGGGGAAACCCAGUGUGAUUCGUCACACUAUCAUUAACUGAAUCCAUAGGUUAAUGAGGCGAACCGGGGGAACUGAAACAUCUAAGUACCCCGAGGAAAAGAAAUCAACCGAGAUUCCCCCAGUAGCGGCGAGCGAACGGGGAGGAGCCCAGAGCCUGAAUCAGUGUGUGUGUUAGUGGAAGCGUCUGGAAAGGCGCGCGAUACAGGGUGACAGCCCCGUACACAAAAAUGCACAUACUGUGAGCUCGAUGAGUAGGGCGGGACACGUGGUAUCCUGUCUGAAUAUGGGGGGACCAUCCUCCAAGGCUAAAUACUCCUGACUGACCGAUAGUGAACCAGUACCGUGAG
Molecule: ribosomal RNA, 407 nt
Filed under: Escherichia coli IS1
Lineage: Bacteria; Pseudomonadati; Pseudomonadota; Gammaproteobacteria; Enterobacterales; Enterobacteriaceae
Description: LSU rRNA
Rfam family: Bacterial large subunit ribosomal RNA
Source: RNAcentral